Molecule: ribosomal RNA, 253 nt
Filed under: uncultured bacterium
Lineage: Bacteria
Description: partial 16S ribosomal RNA
Rfam family: Bacterial small subunit ribosomal RNA
Source: RNAcentral
UACGUAGGGAGCAAGCGUUGUUCGGAUUUACUGGGCGUAAAGGGCGCGUAGGCGGCCUUCCAAGUCGAGUGUGAAAGCCCCGGGCUCAACCUGGGAGGUGCGCUCGAGACUGGCGGGCUGGAGUUCGGGAGAGGGAUGCGGAAUUCCAGGUGUAGCGGUGAAAUGCGUAGAUAUCAGGAGGAACACCAAUGGCGAAGGCAGCACUCUGGGACGUGACUGACGCUGAGACGCGAAAGCGUGGGGAUCAAACAGG